AAAUUGAAGAGUUUGAUCAUGGCUCAGAUUGAACGCUGGCGGCAGGCCUAACACAUGCAAGUCGAGCGGUAGCACAGAGAGCUUGCUCUCGGGUGACGAGCGGCGGACGGGUGAGUAAUGUCUGGGAAACUGCCUGAUGGAGGGGGAUAACUACUGGAAACGGUAGCUAAUACCGCAUAACGUCGCAAGACCAAAGUGGGGGACCUUCGGGCCUCAUGCCAUCAGAUGUGCCCAGAUGGGAUUAGCUAGUAGGUGGGGUAACGGCUCACCUAGGCGACGAUCCCUAGCUGGUCUGAGAGGAUGACCAGCCACACUGGAACUGAGACACGGUCCAGACUCCUACGGGAGGCAGCAGUGGGGAAUAUUGCACAAUGGGCGCAAGCCUGAUGCAGCCAUGCCGCGUGUGUGAAGAAGGCCUUCGGGUUGUAAAGCACUUUCAGCGGGGAGGAAGGCGAUAAGGUUAAUAACCUUGGCGAUUGACGUUACCCGCAGAAGAAGCACCGGCUAACUCCGUGCCAGCAGCCGCGGUAAUACGGAGGGUGCAAGCGUUAAUCGGAAUUACUGGGCGUAAAGCGCACGCAGGCGGUCUGUCAAGUCGGAUGUGAAAUCCCCGGGCUCAACCUGGGAACUGCAUUCGAAACUGGCAGGCUAGAGUCUUGUAGAGGGGGGUAGAAUUCCAGGUGUAGCGGUGAAAUGCGUAGAGAUCUGGAGGAAUACCGGUGGCGAAGGCGGCCCCCUGGACAAAGACUGACGCUCAGGUGCGAAAGCGUGGGGAGCAAACAGGAUUAGAUACCCUGGUAGUCCACGCCGUAAACGAUGUCGAUUUGGAGGUUGUGCCCUUGAGGCGUGGCUUCCGGAGCUAACGCGUUAAAUCGACCGCCUGGGGAGUACGGCCGCAAGGUUAAAACUCAAAUGAAUUGACGGGGGCCCGCACAAGCGGUGGAGCAUGUGGUUUAAUUCGAUGCAACGCGAAGAACCUUACCUGGUCUUGACAUCCACAGAACUUAGCAGAGAUGCUUUGGUGCCUUCGGGAACUGUGAGACAGGUGCUGCAUGGCUGUCGUCAGCUCGUGUUGUGAAAUGUUGGGUUAAGUCCCGCAACGAGCGCAACCCUUAUCCUUUGUUGCCAGCGGUCCGGCCGGGAACUCAAAGGAGACUGCCAGUGAUAAACUGGAGGAAGGUGGGGAUGACGUCAAGUCAUCAUGGCCCUUACGACCAGGGCUACACACGUGCUACAAUGGCAUAUACAAAGAGAAGCGACCUCGCGAGAGCAAGCGGACCUCAUAAAGUAUGUCGUAGUCCGGAUUGGAGUCUGCAACUCGACUCCAUGAAGUCGGAAUCGCUAGUAAUCGUAGAUCAGAAUGCUACGGUGAAUACGUUCCCGGGCCUUGUACACACCGCCCGUCACACCAUGGGAGUGGGUUGCAAAAGAAGUAGGUAGCUUAACCUUCGGGAGGGCGCUUACCACUUUGUGAUUCAUGACUGGGGUGAAGUCGUAACAAGGUAACCGUAGGGGAACCUGCGGUUGGAUCACCUCCUUA
RNAcentral lists this ribosomal RNA (1540 nucleotides) under Klebsiella pneumoniae. Its description in RNAcentral is "bacterial SSU rRNA". It matches the Rfam family "Bacterial small subunit ribosomal RNA". Lineage: Bacteria; Pseudomonadati; Pseudomonadota; Gammaproteobacteria; Enterobacterales; Enterobacteriaceae. The record is from RNAcentral.